GCACUGGCAAAAUCCGGUGCCGGGAUUGGACCCCCGAUUAUGCUACAGGUGCAUAGCCUUCAGUGAUGUUUCU
This 73-nucleotide small RNA is filed under the name Vibrio sp. THAF64. RNAcentral's name for it is "isrK Hfq binding RNA". The record is from RNAcentral. RNAcentral also lists the same sequence under 2 other names. Lineage: Bacteria; Pseudomonadati; Pseudomonadota; Gammaproteobacteria; Vibrionales; Vibrionaceae.